Molecule: ribosomal RNA, 433 nt
Filed under: uncultured bacterium
Lineage: Bacteria
Description: partial 16S ribosomal RNA
Rfam family: Bacterial small subunit ribosomal RNA
Source: RNAcentral
GACGAACGCUGGCGGCAGGCUUAACACAUGCAAGUCGAGCGGACCUUCCGGGGUCAGCGGCGGUCGGGUGAGUAACGCGUGGUAAUAUGCCCUUCUCUACGGUAUAGUCCUGUGAAACUGGGGUUAAUGCCGUAUACGCCCUUUGGGGGUAAGAUUUAUUGGGGCAGGAUUGGCCCGCGUUUGAUUCGGUAGUUGGUGGGGGAAUGGCAUACCAAGCCGAGGAUCCAUAGCUGGUUGGUGAGGAUGAUAAACCAGACUUGGACUGAGACACGGCCCAGACUGCGACGCGACGGAGCAGUGUGGAAUCCUAGAGAAGGGGGGCUAACCCGAUCAAGCCACGCGGGGGGAGUGAUGCAGGCGUUAGGAUUGUAAUGCUCUUUCAGCUGAGAAGAUAGUGACGGUAACAGCAGAAGAAGCCCCGGCUAACUCCGUG